RNAcentral lists this ribosomal RNA (429 nucleotides) under Gemmatimonadota bacterium. RNAcentral's name for it is "Gemmatimonadetes bacterium partial 16S ribosomal RNA". It matches the Rfam family "Bacterial small subunit ribosomal RNA", at positions 355 to 776 of the family's 1533-position model. The record is from RNAcentral. Lineage: Bacteria; Pseudomonadati; Gemmatimonadota.
UAGGGAAUCUUCGGCAAUGGACGAAAGUCUGACCGAGCAACGCCGCGUGAGUGAAGAAGGUUUUCGGAUCGUAAAACUCUGUUGUUAGAGAAGAACAAGGACGUUAGUAACUGAACGUCCCCUGACGGUAUCUAACCAGAAAGCCACGGCUAACUACGUGCCAGCAGCCGCGGUAAUACGUAGGUGGCAAGCGUUGUCCGGAUUUAUUGGGCGUGAAGCGAGCGCAGGCGGUUUCUUAAGUCUGAUGUGAAAGCCCCCGGCUCAACCGGGGAGGGUCAUUGGAAACUGGGAGACUUGAGUGCAGAAGAGGAGAGUGGAAUUCCAUGUGUAGCGGUGAAAUGCGUAGAUAUAUGGAGGAACACCAGUGGCGAAGGCGGCUCUCUGGUCUGUAACUGACGCUGAGGCUCGAAAGCGUGGGGAGCAAACAGG